This 312-nucleotide long non-coding RNA is filed under the name Mustela putorius furo (domestic ferret). Its description in RNAcentral is "lncRNA (ENSMPUG00000027400.1)". Lineage: Eukaryota; Metazoa; Chordata; Mammalia; Carnivora; Mustelidae. The record is from RNAcentral.
AUGAGUCGCCUCUGGCUGGGGGUCGUCCACGCAGUUGUUUCUUGCCUGGCACCCCGGAAGCACACCUGCCACGGGUUCACCCCCAAGCUCCGGGGGCGGGGCCUCACCAGGGGCAGCAAGGGGACCUUCCCCGUCUUUCUUUGCAGAGGAGGCCCCGCAGGGGCCGGGUGUGCUGAGCACAGGGGCCACUGGGAGGUGCUGAGAAAGGUCCUUCAUUGGAUUUUUCCACUCCAUAGCUUGACUUCUCUCUUAAAGUGCUCACCAGAAGAUUCUCCAAGAGAUACCCUACUACUCGGCCUCAGUCGUCCAUGA